Molecule: ribosomal RNA, 300 nt
Filed under: uncultured bacterium
Lineage: Bacteria
Description: bacterial SSU rRNA
Rfam family: Bacterial small subunit ribosomal RNA
Source: RNAcentral
GACGAACGCUGGCGGCGUGCCUAACACAUGCAAGGUCAGGGAUUGAAUGAAGGGUAGCAAUACUUUUUAUUCAGUACCGGCGCACGGGUGAGUAACACGUAGGUAAUCUACCCUCAGGCGGGGAACGAACAUCGAGAAAUCGGUGCUAAUACCGCAUGACGCAACGAGACCACAUGAUCUUGUUGUUAAAGAUCCGCAAGGAUCACCCGAGGAUGAACCUGCGCCCGAUUAGCUAGUUGGCGGAGUAAUAGCCCACCAAGGCAACGAUCGGUAGCCGACCUGAGAGGGUGAUCGGCCACA